Molecule: long non-coding RNA, 429 nt
Organism: Corvus hawaiiensis (hawaiian crow)
Lineage: Eukaryota; Metazoa; Chordata; Aves; Passeriformes; Corvidae
Exons: 3
Source: RefSeq, a predicted model, not a curated record
UUCAGUGUUUCUCCUGAAUGCAAAUUCUUCACUGACGCAGUGGAACGGCGUGGUACAACGUCCGUGCUCGAAGGGGAUGGGCAGCAGCAACCUCUGAGCUGGCUUUGCACAUUGAAGGAACGAGAGUCUGGCAACUGUGCACCUGGUUUCAGAAGAGUUUGCUCUUCCAGUCCUACUCUUGAGAUGGGUAUGAGCUCACAUGCAUUGUCUUACACUCCCAGUGUUUGCUUUGGAGAGUCAGCUCUGAAAUGAAGUACGUCUUCGGACCUGCUUUCCUGAUGCCUCUGUGAGUCAGUGCUCACUCCCCGAUAAAGAGUUGUAGAGGAGGAUCUGCUCACUGCUUUAUCUCCAUGGGACUCCUCGGGCCUGAUGGAGGUGGAACAUCUUUGUGAAGCUUUGGAAAGUCAUGAAGGUGAGACAGUACUUGAU